GAAGUGAAGACAAGUCCCAUCGGUUUCAAUGUCUUUACCUUUUAUCCUCGCAUGGAUUUUUAUGCAUGGAAUUCAUCAAAGGUAGAAAAUACAGUAGCCAGGGAAUGCCCAGCUAGCCACUAAUUGGGUAGGUAAAGGUUUAAUGUGAAAGGGCAUAAGAAAGGUUCAUAGGUAUGAGAGCUUGCCUAGUACAAACCGUUUAUUUCGCCGACAAUUAUGUACGAUUGCAUUAGCUUUACCCUUCCAUUCCUCCUCCCCUCUCUAUAUCUUCUUCUCUGAAUCUCUUUAUGUACUUCACUCUUCUCUCUGCAUUUCUGUACUUUCCUCAGUCCCAGCUAAAUCAUUCUUUCUUUCUCUCUCUCCCACCAACAUGGUGCAAUCAAAGAAGUUCAGAGGAGUCAGGCAGCGUCAUUGGGGUUCUUGGGUAUCUGAAAUUCGACACCCUUUACUGAAAAGGAGAAUCUGGCUAGGCACAUUUGAAACGGCAGAAGAGGCAGCUCGAGCUUAUGAUCAAGCUGCAAUCUUGAUGAGUGGCCGCAACGCUAAAACAAAUUUUCCAAUAUCUCAAACCCCAAACGGAGACCCAAAAUCCUCUGAACAUUCCCCAACUAGUACUAAUGCUGCUGCUCCACCCAAUGGUCUAUCUGCAAUCCUGCACGCCAAGCUUCGAAAGUGCAGCAAAGCACCAUCUCCGUCCAUGACGUGUUUGAGGCUUGAUACUGAGAACUCCCACAUUGGGGUGUGGCAAAAGCGCGCUGGACAGCGCUCUGAUUCCAACUGGGUCAUGACCGUGCAGCUUGGGAAGAGAGACAACCAAGUUUCUGAUGGUACAUUGCCAUUGGCAGAGUCAUCUGGGACGCUACCGGGUCCGGAGUUGAGAACGGAAAUGGAUGAAGAAGAGAGAAUUGCACUGCAAAUGAUCGAAGAGCUUCUCAACAGGAACUGUCCAAGCCCACCAUUGGGUGAUCAAGAUGGUGAUGAUGAUGGUAGCUUCUAGCUUUGAAUUUCUUGUGGGUUUGGUUUCUUAAUUUCAAGGGAGCAAUGUGUUUGUAUAGGUUGCAUGACACUUCCUAUUAGCUGUUGAGUUGCAGGGUCUUAGUUUGUGCACCCAAAGGGAAGAAAAAACCAUUAAAAAAAAAAAAGAAAUUGUGAAUUUCUACUUUAUUUGUAAUAUUCUGUAUUAUACAUCCAUAAAUAGAAUGGGUGGAGAGGAAAAUUGAUAGUGAAGAGAAAUUAAAACCUUCUGCAUGCUCUCCAAGAAGGCUUUACCAAUUAAUUAUAAUCUUCGUUGCUGAUCAUAAAUAAUAAUUAAUGGAAUUAUUUGUGAUUUCUGUUUACUUUAUAUGUUAAUUAGUUGUUUAAUAUAUAUACA
RNAcentral lists this unclassified non-coding RNA (1372 nucleotides) under Hevea brasiliensis (rubber tree). The record is from RNAcentral. Lineage: Eukaryota; Viridiplantae; Streptophyta; Magnoliopsida; Malpighiales; Euphorbiaceae.